This is a long non-coding RNA of Pezoporus occidentalis (night parrot), 2857 nucleotides long. RefSeq lists it as uncharacterized. The transcript is spliced from 2 exons. The record is from RefSeq and is a predicted model, not a curated record. NCBI's taxonomy places the organism in Eukaryota, Metazoa, Chordata, Aves, Psittaciformes, Psittacidae.
UGGUUUAGGUUGGAAAGGAGCUUAAAGCUCAUCCAGUUCCAACCCCUGCCACGGCCAGGGACACCUUCCACUAGAGCAGCUUGCUCCAAGCCCCUGUGUCCAACCUGGCCUUGAACACUGCCAGGGAUGGGGCAGCCACAGCUUCUCUGGGCACCCUGUGCUCAUCUGGUUUAUUAACCUCCAUGUUUCAAGCAGCUUUGCUACUAAGAGAAGUGUCCUUUGAUGGGACACUGCUUGGGAACUUCAGUUCACUUUGGUCUAGACAUAAAAGAAAAAAAUCAUAAGAUUGACUUAAAAUGAGUCUUUGCUUUUAUAAAUAUCACACUGGGGGGAUAAUUCACCUGCUCAGGCCACAGGACUCCAGAAUCAUGUUUCCAAAUGUCCUUCCAGCAACUUCAUACUAUUAAAAAGUGCAUAAUGACAUAAACACGCCACACAACAGCAACAGGAAAACAUCACUGAGGAUACAUAAAUUGAAGCACUCGUAAUGUAGAAAAAAAGCCUCAAGUCAGGUGCCUGCUCUUUCUCCAGAGCUGCUGUGCAUAAUAAUACCCCAUUAAGCCAUAUAAAUGCUUAUUUAACUGUUUUUUUUCCCUGACACAGCUGCUUUGCUGAGUGCCCAGAGUGGAUGAUGCUCAAUAAUGCUCAGUAUUAUCCUCAUCCAUCAGCACUCAGCCAGAGCCUUAUUUGUCAUCCAAGCAUUGCUCUAGAACCAGAAGCUUCUCCUAUUACCCCCAGUGCUGUAGCCAGGCUGAUAACACUGGGGCUGUUCAGGCUGGAGAAGAGAAGCUGUGUGGAGACCUCAGAGCAGCUUCCAGUGUCUGAAGGGGGCUACAAGGAUGCUGGAGAGGGGCUCUUCAUCAGGGACUGUAGCCAUAGGACAAGGGGUGAUGGGUUCAAACUGAAACAGGGGGAGUUCAGGUUGGAGAUAAGGCAGAAGCUCUUCCCUGUGAGGGUGGCAAGGUGCUGAGUUGGAACUGGAUGAACUUUAAGGUCCCUUCCAACCCAAACCAGUCUGGGAUUCUAUGGGUCAGGCAGCCCUCAAACCCACAGUUCCCAGGAUCUUCCAGAAGGGAUGAGAGGGGCAGAGCCAUGAGCUGUGAGGUUUGGCUGCAGCAUCUGGCAAGGCAGCAGGAGCCCAACCAGCCAUGGAGCUCCUGCAGCAGGUCCCCAGUGUGGUAGGAACAUUGGAAAGAUCCUUUUGUAACAGAUCAGCACCAAAACAGCCCCAUUCUGGAGGAAAGCUUCAUCCUUGCACAAUGCUUUACCACAGGAAAGGGCUGAUGCACCGAUUGCACUCAGAUCUACAGCAGAGCAGCACCAUUGCUGCAGCAUGGCCCUGGGUUGGAGAAACAAGAUGUUUGCAGUAAAGUCUUCCAGUCUCUUGAAAUACCUGGAAACUCAUGGUAUUCUACAAGAGAAAAUGGAACCCUGGCUAUGAGCUACUCUACGGUUAAUGACAUUUGAACAUCCAGAGUCUUACACUCUGGAGGACAACCCUGCUUAGAAUGCAAUAUGUCAACUCAAAGAGUGAAGUCAUCUGGAUCUCCGUUCUUCCAGCGCUCAACAGACCUUCUUUCUUUCCCAAAAUGCCUCCUUUUUUCCAUAACAGAUAUAAAACAAUCCCUGUAGGGAAGAGAGAUUCCCUGGGACCAUCCCUCAUACAGACAACCCUGUGAGCAUCAGGGCAGGGGCUGCUCUCCCUUCUGCACUGCACUGCCAGAGGCCUUUGCUUCUGUCAAAUAGAACAGGAAUGAAUUCAUUCCCUUUCCUCCAGAAACGUGCUCCUGACCCCUUUUUAUUAUCCUUAAGCAUUUACUUCUCCUUAGCCAACCACCAGGCUUCCCAACUUCCUGCAUCCUCUCAGCCUCACUUGAAAGCAUCUUCUCCCUCCCCCUUUUCUUUGUCCAUCCAAACUUCCCUUCCACUUCCUCUCCCCUUGCCCCAAAGCCCAAACAAACCCACAUUCUUGUCCCCGAAUAGAGGCUGAUUCAUGGCUUUGCGUCAGCACCCACUCUGCUGGCCAGACCCAGCUCUAAUGGACACGGCUCAGCUGCUGCCAGGCACGAUGUGACAACAUCUGGAAAGCGUCAGGGCCGGUGUGAGGCAGCAGGGAACGUGCAGAGCCAGAAAGGGAGAUCCUGGAUUCAGUUAUUCCUUAGGGUUCAACCACACACAAACCAAUGCAGUCAAACAAGAGGAGAGAUGGGUGUUACAAAAGGUCUUGGCUCAGGCUUUGGGUUUAAUCUAGAACGUUGGAUGGAGGAAAACAGGCAGGUUUAGGAGUACUUUCAGGGCAAGGCGUUCAUCCAGCACUGUUCCCAUCUCAACAGCUCCAUGGAUCUGCUCUGCACUAACAAUGAUACUGCUCUUCCAUCAAAAAUCAUCAGUCAACAUGAGGCAAACCUGAGAGUUCUGGAGAGCCAGGACCAGCCUGAAAGCUGUAUCCAGACCCUGCUCCUGCUACAUCACACAGCAAAAGGAACUGGGUGCUUGGACCCCAAACCAAAGCAAUUGAAACCUGGGGUCUUUGCAUGUUUAAUAAGGACUGCAUCUGAGGUUCAGACAGCGAAUCCUGACCUCCUGAAGCAGCACAUUCUCUAGCCAUACCAGAGCACCCUGCACUGCCGCACCAGGCAGAGUAAUCCCAGCUCAGGCCAGGGUCCUGGAGAGCAGAUGGAGCUUUUGGAAGCUGCUGGCUCAGCAAAGCCAGUAGCAGAUUCAGCUAAAGCCUUAACCUGCCUGCCCCAAACAGCUUUUAGCACACACUGAGAGCUGUGAAGGUGCAAGAGAGAAGCUUAUGAUUUGUACACAGAAUAGAGGGAAGUUUAUUCAUAUUAAAUACACUUUACUUGCA